CGUUUCUCCGCCGGCGACCGGCGCACGGGUGAGUAACACGUAUGCAACCUGCCCUGUCAGGGGGACAACCCGCCGAAAGGCGGGCUAAACCCGCGUACAUGCCACCGGGGCAUCCCGGAGGCAGGAAAGGCUUCGGCCGGACAGGGAUGGGCAUGCGGCGCAUUAGGCAGUAGGCGGGGUAACGGCCCACCUAACCGACGAUGCGUAGGGGUUCUGAGAGGAAGGUCCCCCACACUGGUACUGAGACACGGACCAGACUCCUACGGAAGGCAGCAG
RNAcentral lists this ribosomal RNA (276 nucleotides) under uncultured bacterium. RNAcentral's name for it is "partial 16S ribosomal RNA". It matches the Rfam family "Bacterial small subunit ribosomal RNA", at positions 76 to 354 of the family's 1533-position model. The record is from RNAcentral.